UGGGGAAUAUUGGGCAAUGGACGAAAGUCUGACCCAGCGACGCCGCGUGCGGGAUGAAGGCCUUCGGGUUGUAAACCGCUUUCAGCAGGGAAUAAGCGCAAGUGAAGGUACCUGCAGAAGAAGCACCGGCUAACUAUGUGCCAGCAGCCGCGGUAAUACAUAGGGUGCAAGCGUUGUCCGGAAUUAUUGGGCGUAAAGAGCUCGUAGGUGGUUUGUUACGUCGGUUGUGAAAUUCAGGGGCUCAACCCCUGACUUGCAGCCGAUACGGGCAAGCUAGAGUUUGGUAGGGGAGACUGGAAUUCCUGGUGUAGCGGUGGAAUGCGCAGAUAUCAGGAGGAACACCGAUGGCGAAGGCAGGUCUCUGGGCCAAUACUGACACUGAGGA
RNAcentral lists this ribosomal RNA (385 nucleotides) under uncultured bacterium. RNAcentral describes it as "bacterial SSU rRNA". It matches the Rfam family "Bacterial small subunit ribosomal RNA", at positions 355 to 752 of the family's 1533-position model. The record is from RNAcentral.